GGUGAAGGGACACAGCGCUUUGCUAGGCUGGGAUGCGGCGAGGCGCCGAAGGACGCAGCAGUUUGCCAGGUGGCGAGGGGGGGAGGGAUGCAGCGCUUGGCUGGGUGGCAAGGCGGCAAAGGCAUGUGGUUCUUUGUUAGGUGGCCAAGGGUCACAGCAGUGUGCUAGUCGACGAGAGGGUGAAGGCACACAGUGCUUUGCUAGGCGGCGAAGGGACGCAGCGCUUUGCCAGGCGGCAAAGGGACGCAGCGGUUUGCUGGGCGGCGAGGGGGAAAAGGAACGCAGCGGUGUGCUAGGCGGCGAGGCGGUCAGGCAGCGGAGGGACGAGGUGCUUUGCUAGGCAGCAAAGGGACUCGGCUCUUUGCUAGGCGGGGAGUCUGCGAAGGGCCUUGGCACUUUGCUAGGUCACAAAGGGACACGGCGCUUUGCUAGGCGGCGAAGGGAUGCAGUACUUUCCUAGGCAGCAAGGCGACAAAGGGACACGGCGCUUUCGUAGGCAGCGGGGAGGCGAAGGCACGCAGAGAUUUGGUAGGCGGCAAAGGGACGAGGCGCUUUGGUAGGCGUCGAGGAGGCAAAGGGACACGGCGCUUUGCUAGGCAGCAAAGAGACUCGGCGCCUUGCUAGGUGGUGAGGCGACGAAGGGAAACGGCGCUUUGCCAGGAGGUGGAGGGACGUAGUGCUUUGCCAGGCAGCGAAGGGAUGCGGCGCUUUGCUAGGCGGCGAGGCGACUAAGGGACUCAGCGCUUUGCUAGGCAGCGAGGCGGCGAAGGCAUGCGCUGCUUUGCUAGACGGYGAAGGGUCACAGCGGUGUUCUAGUCAGCGAGGUGGUGAAGGGACGCAGCGCUUUGCUAGGCUGGGAUGCGGCGAGGCACCGAGGCGCCAAAGGAUGCAGCAGUUUGCCAGGUGGCGAGGGGGGGAGGGACGCAGCGCUUGGCUAGGCGGCGAAGGCAAGCGCUGCUUUGCUAGGCGCCGAAGGAACACGGCGCUUUCCAAGGCGGCGAAGGGACACGGCGCUUUGCUAGGCGGCGAGGCGGCAAAGGCACGCGGCUCUUUGUUAGGCGGCGAAGGGGCACAGCAGUGUGCUAGUCGACGAGAGGGUGAAGGCAUGCAGUGCUUUGCUAGGCGGUGAGGCGGUGAAGGGACUUGGUGCUUUGCUAGGUGGUGAAGGGACGCAUCGCUUGGCAGCAACAGGAGGUGAAGCGAAGAGACACAGCGGUUCCUUAGUUUGCGAGGCAGCAAAGAGACGCAGUCGUAAGUUAGUGUGCAAGGCAGCGAACAGAUAGAACGGUUUGCUUGUUUGUGAGGUAGGGAAGAGACGCGUGGUUUGUUUUUUUGUGAGUCGGCGAAUAGACGCAGUGAUGUGCUUUUGUGCGAGGCAGUGAACAGACCCAGCGGUUUGCUUCUUUGCGAGGGAGUGAACAGAUGCAGUGGUUAGUUUGUGAGGCAUCCAAGAGAUGCAGCGGUGUGCUUGUUUGCGAGGCAUUGAAGAAAAUCAGCAGGUAGUUAGUUUGCCAUGUGACGAAGAGACACAACGGUUUGCUUUUUCAUGAUGCAGUGAACAGGUGCAGCAGUUUGCUUGUUCACAAUGCAGCAAACAGACGCAGCGGUGUGCUUGCUUGUGAAGCAGUGAACAGACGAAGCUGUUUGCUAGCUUGUGAGACAGCAAACAUCCACGGUGGUUACUCAUUUUGUGAGGAAGUGAAGAGACGCACUGGUUAGUUCGUGAGGUAGCGAACAGAUGCAGCGGUUUGCUUGUUUGUGAGGCAGCGAACAGACACAGCGGUUAGUUAGUUCGCGAGGCAGUGAAGAGACGCAGCACUUUGCUGGUCCACGAGG
Molecule: long non-coding RNA, 1836 nt
Filed under: Apteryx haastii (Great spotted kiwi)
Lineage: Eukaryota; Metazoa; Chordata; Aves; Apterygiformes; Apterygidae
Description: lncRNA (ENSAHAG00000005130.1)
Source: RNAcentral